RNAcentral lists this small RNA (116 nucleotides) under Marmota monax (woodchuck). Lineage: Eukaryota; Metazoa; Chordata; Mammalia; Rodentia; Sciuridae. The record is from RNAcentral.
GCCAAGAAUGGUUGUCAUGCCUGUAGUCCCAGCUGCUUGGGAGGCUGAGGCAGGAGGACUGCUUGGGCCCAGGAGUUCAAGGCUAGCCUGGGCAACAUAGUGAGACCAUGUCUCAA